GGCGGAGGAAACGAACGAGGAGGACAAAGACGAAAAGGAGGAUUAGGUGGACGAGGAGGACGGAGGUGGUCGGAGGUAGUAGAGGGUGGUUCUUGUAUCGCCGACCAGUCAGUGAGUACACUCAGGCCAAGUACUGGCUUGGGCUUACCAUUGCGAAGACUGUGUUACUCAGAAGGUGAAUGCAGCCAGCAUCAUGUUGAAAUCGGAAACUCUCUGAUGUUCUGCAAUAAGUUCUCAACUCUACCGUUGGAACAUCUCACGGAGCAAUUUUUUGUUGUCACAUCAAAGCCAUGAAGGCAACUGUCUUUAUAUUCUUCAUCCAAUCCAGGUGCUUUUUCGCUCGCCGUUUCUCUCCUGUUGGUCCUAGG
This 368-nucleotide long non-coding RNA is filed under the name Neodiprion lecontei (redheaded pine sawfly). RNAcentral's name for it is "uncharacterized LOC124294473". The record is from RNAcentral. RNAcentral also lists the same sequence under 1 other name. Lineage: Eukaryota; Metazoa; Arthropoda; Insecta; Hymenoptera; Diprionidae.